This 559-nucleotide ribosomal RNA is filed under the name Tetradesmus obliquus. RNAcentral describes it as "eukaryotic LSU rRNA". It matches the Rfam family "Eukaryotic large subunit ribosomal RNA", at positions 21 to 598 of the family's 3401-position model. The record is from RNAcentral. Lineage: Eukaryota; Viridiplantae; Chlorophyta; Chlorophyceae; Sphaeropleales; Scenedesmaceae.
CCUUUUACCCGCUGAUUUAAGCAUAUCAAUAAGCGGAGGAAAAGAAACUAACAAGGAUGCGCUUAGUAACGGCGAGCGAACCGCGCAAAGCCCAACUUGAAAAUCUCCCUMGGAGAAUUGUAGUCUAUAGAAGUACCCUCUGCAACGGGCUGAGCUAAAGUCUCCUGGAAAGGGGCGUCAGAGAGGGUGAGAACCCCGUAAGCUYACGCUUAGUUGCCUCACGAGGUGCUUUCRAAGAGUCGGGUUGCUUGGGAAUGCAGCCCAAAUUUGGUGGUAAAUCCCAUCUAAGCUAAAUAYUGGCGAGAGACCGAUAGCGAACAAGUACCGUGAGGGAAAGAUGAAAAGAACUUUGAAAAGAGAGUUAAAAAGUGCUUGAAAUUGUUGAGGGGGAAGCGUUUGAAUGCUMGGGUGCGCAGGCUUAUGGGUUCUUAACGGGCUCUGUAUGUGCUGYGCUGGCCAGCAUGGGUUAGGCUAGUGGGAAAAAGCUGGGUUGAUACCKGCUGCCACUGGCUUGACCAAGGCGUAAGACUGCCCUUGUCCUUCGGGAACUGCAGUCUCA